Molecule: ribosomal RNA, 253 nt
Filed under: uncultured bacterium
Lineage: Bacteria
Description: partial 16S ribosomal RNA
Rfam family: Bacterial small subunit ribosomal RNA
Source: RNAcentral
UACGUAGGGUGCGAGCGUUGUCCGGAAUUAUUGGGCGUAAAGAGCUCGUAGGCGGCCUGUCGCGUCGGAUGUGAAAGCCCGGGGCUUAACCCCGGGUCUGCAUUCGAUACGGGCAGGCUAGAGUGUGGUAGGGGAGAUCGGGAUUCCUGGUGUAGCGGUGAAAUGCGCAGAUAUCAGGAGGAACACCGGUGGCGAAGGCGGAUCUCUGGGCCAUUACUGACGCUGAGGAGCGAAAGCGUGGGGAGCGAACAGG